RNAcentral lists this transfer RNA (63 nucleotides) under Paracanthobdella livanowi. RNAcentral's name for it is "tRNA-Thr". Lineage: Eukaryota; Metazoa; Annelida; Clitellata; Acanthobdellida. The record is from RNAcentral.
GAAUUGAAAGCUUAUAUAGUAUUGGUCUUGUAAAUCAAAGAAAGAUUUUUAAAUCUCAGUUCU